GAAAGUAAAUAAGGGCGUAUGGGGAAUGCCUAGGCUCUUGGAGGCGAAGAAAGACGUGGUAAGCUGCGAAAAGCUCCGGGGAUUUGCAAACAAGAUUUGAUCCGGAGAUUUCUGAAUGGGACAACCCGUCAGGUAGAAGACCUGACACAUCGUAAGAUGGGCCAACCCUCUGAACUGAAACAUCUUAGUAGGAGGAGGAAAAGAAAGAAACAUCGAUUUCCUGAGUAGCGGCGAGCGAAAGGGAAAAAGCCUAAACCGGUAUUGUUACGGCAAUGCCGGGGUUGUAGGACUGCAAUAUUCAAGUAACAAUGAACUGGAACGAUCUGGAAAGUUCGUCCAUAGAGGGUGAAAGGCCCGUACAGGUAAGUUCGUUAUGCGAUAGCAGUAUCCUGAGUAGGGCGGGACACGAGGAAUCCUGUCUGAAUCUGCCGGGACCACCCGGUAAGGCUAAAUACUCCCAAGAGACCGAUAGUGAACCAGUACCGUGAGGGAAAGGUGAAAAGAACCCCGAACAGGGGAGUGAAAUAGAACCUGAAACCAUACGCUUACAACCGGUCGGAGCAGUUUCGUGCUGUGACGGCGUGCCUAUUGAAUAAUGAGCCUACGAGUUACUAAUCACUGGCGAGGUUAAGUGCACGGAUGCACGGAGCCGAAGCGAAAGCGAGUCUGAACAGGGCGGCUAGUCAGUGGUUGUAGACGCGAAACCUUGCGAUCUACCCUUGAGCAGGUUGAAGGUUGGGUAAAACCAACUGGAGGACCGAACGAAUAAGCGUUGAAAAGCUUCUCGAUGACUUGAGGGUAGGGGUGAAAGGCUAAUCAAGCUGGGAAAUAGCUCGUACUCCCCGAAAUGCCUUUAGGGGCAGCGUUGUAAUUAAGAGUCUACUGGAGGUAGAGCUACUGAUUGGAUGCGGGGGCUUCACCGCCUACCAAAUCCUGACAAACUCCGAAUGCCAGUAGUAUGAUUUACAGCAGUGAGCGACCGGGUGCUAAUGUCCGGUUACGAGAGUGGAACAACACAGACCAGCAACUAAGGUCCCGAAGAGUAUACUAAGUUGAUCUAACGAUGUUUUGCUGCAGAGACAGCUAGGAUGUUAGCUUGGAAGCAGCUAUUCAUUCAAAGAGUGCGUAACAGCUCACUAGUCGAGCGGCAAAGCGUGGAUAAUAAACGGGCAUCAAGUAUACCACCGAAGUUCUGGGCACGAAAGUGCGGUAGGGGAGCAUUCCAUUGACGUCGAAGCCAUUCCGCGAGGAUAGGUGGAGUUUAUGGAAAAGCAAAUGUAGGCAUGAGUAACGAUAAUGCGGGAGAGUAACCCGCACACCGCAAGACCAAGGUUUCCUGAUCAACGCUAAUCGGAUCAGGGUUAGUCGGGUCCUAAGGGUAAGCCGAACGGUGAUCUCGAUGGACAAUCGGUUAAUAUUCCGAUACUAACAUAUACCUCGAUGGAGAGACGAAGGAACGUAAGUGACGCCGCCUGACGGAAUAGGUGGUUAAAGGGUGUAGGUAUAGGGACAGAUUAAGAGUUAGUCCUUGCUGAAACCCGACAGUACGGAGCGGCUACGGCCAAUCUGAUAGUUCACCCAAGUCGACUUCCGAGAAAAUCUUCUAAGUUAUAGUAUAUGUUACCCGUACCGUAAACCGACACAGGUGGUCGAGGAGAGUAUCCUAAGGUGCUCGAGUGAAUCACGGUUAAGGAACUAGGCAAAUUAACCCCGUAACUUCGGGAAAAGGGGUCCCUACGCGAGUAGGGCGCAGCGAAGAGGUCCAGGCGACUGUUUAUCAAAAACACAGGGCUCUGCAAAUUCGAAAGAAGACGUAUAGGGCCUGACACCUGCCCGGUGCUGGAAGGUUAAGAGGGGAUGUCAUCGCAAGAGAAGCAUUGAAUCGAAGCCCCAGUAAACGGCGGCCGUAACUAUAACGGUCCUAAGGUAGCGAAAUUCCUUGUCGGGUAAGUUCCGACCUGCACGAAUGGUGUAACGAUCUGGACACUGUCUCAACCGUGAGCUCGGUGAAAUUGUAGUCCCGGUGAUGAUGCCGGGUACCCGCAACGGGACGAAUAGACCCCGUGAACCUUUACUAUAGCUUAACGCUGAAUUUGGGUACACAAUGUGUAGGAUAGGC
This 2119-nucleotide ribosomal RNA is filed under the name gut metagenome. RNAcentral's name for it is "bacterial LSU rRNA". It matches the Rfam family "Bacterial large subunit ribosomal RNA", at positions 1 to 2148 of the family's 2925-position model. The record is from RNAcentral.